RNAcentral lists this ribosomal RNA (410 nucleotides) under uncultured Desulfobulbus sp. RNAcentral describes it as "bacterial SSU rRNA". It matches the Rfam family "Bacterial small subunit ribosomal RNA", at positions 976 to 1382 of the family's 1533-position model. The record is from RNAcentral. Lineage: Bacteria; Pseudomonadati; Thermodesulfobacteriota; Desulfobulbia; Desulfobulbales; Desulfobulbaceae.
UGGUCUUGACAUCCCGGAGACCCUUAGGAAACUAGGGGUGCUUCCAUCUGGAAGAAUCUGGAGACAGGUGCUGCAUGGCUGUCGUCAGCUCGUGUCGUGAGAUGUUGGGUUAAGUCCCGCAACGAGCGCAACCCUUGCCUUUAGUUGCCAGCAGUUCGGCUGGGCACUCUAAAGGGACUGCCGGUGUUAAACCGGAGGAAGUGGGGAUGACGUCAAGUCCUCAUGGCCUUUAUGACCAGGGCUACACACGUACUACAAUGGCCGAUACAAAGGGCAGCGACACUGCGAGGUGAAGCCAAUCCCGUAAAAUCGGUCUCAGUCCGGAUUGGAGCCUGCAACUCGACUCCAUGAAGUUGGAAUCGCUAGUAAUCGUGGAUCAGCAUGCCACGGUGAAUACGUUCCCGGGCCUU